This is a small nucleolar RNA of Cercocebus atys (sooty mangabey), 129 nucleotides long. The record is from Ensembl. NCBI's taxonomy places the organism in Eukaryota, Metazoa, Chordata, Mammalia, Primates, Cercopithecidae.
UCUGAGACUAGGGUCACAUCCUAACAGCUCACAGCUCUUCUCUAGUAUGCUGGAGUCCUCAGAAUCUGCUGGUCUUGAUUCACUGAUGGGGGCAACCAGUGUCCCCUUAGUGUCCGGGCAGAAACAUAC